UACGUAGGGUGCGAGCGUUGCCCGGAUUUAUUGGGCGUAAAGGGCGCGCAGGCGGUACGGCACGUCCGUUGUGAAAUCGCUCGGCUCAACUGGGCGGGGUCAGCGGAUAUGGCCGCACUUGAGCAAGCUAGGGGGCAAUGGAAUUCCCGGUGUAGUGGUGGAAUGCGUAGAUAUCGGGAGGAACACCAGUGGCGAAGGCGGUUGCCUGGAGCUUUGCUGACGCUGAGGCGCGAAAGCGUGGGGAGCGAUCCGG
This 253-nucleotide ribosomal RNA is filed under the name uncultured bacterium. RNAcentral's name for it is "partial 16S ribosomal RNA". It matches the Rfam family "Bacterial small subunit ribosomal RNA", at positions 524 to 776 of the family's 1533-position model. The record is from RNAcentral.